Molecule: ribosomal RNA, 1303 nt
Filed under: Escherichia coli
Lineage: Bacteria; Pseudomonadati; Pseudomonadota; Gammaproteobacteria; Enterobacterales; Enterobacteriaceae
Description: partial 23S ribosomal RNA
Rfam family: Bacterial large subunit ribosomal RNA
Source: RNAcentral
CCUUUUGUAUAAUGGGUCAGCGACUUAUAUUCUGUAGCAAGGUUAACCGAAUAGGGGAGCCGAAGGGAAACCGAGUCUUAACUGGGCGUUAAGUUGCAGGGUAUAGACCCGAAACCCGGUGAUCUAGCCAUGGGCAGGUUGAAGGUUGGGUAACACUAACUGGAGGACCGAACCGACUAAUGUUGAAAAAUUAGCGGAUGACUUGUGGCUGGGGGUGAAAGGCCAAUCAAACCGGGAGAUAGCUGGUUCUCCCCGAAAGCUAUUUAGGUAGCGCCUCGUGAAUUCAUCUCCGGGGGUAGAGCACUGUUUCGGCAAGGGGGUCAUCCCGACUUACCAACCCGAUGCAAACUGCGAAUACCGGAGAAUGUUAUCACGGGAGACACACGGCGGGUGCUAACGUCCGUCGUGAAGAGGGAAACAACCCAGACCGCCAGCUAAGGUCCCAAAGUCAUGGUUAAGUGGGAAACGAUGUGGGAAGGCCCAGACAGCCAGGAUGUUGGCUUAGAAGCAGCCAUCAUUUAAAGAAAGCGUAAUAGCUCACUGGUCGAGUCGGCCUGCGCGGAAGAUGUAACGGGGCUAAACCAUGCACCGAAGCUGCGGCAGCGACACUAUGUGUUGUUGGGUAGGGGAGCGUUCUGUAAGCCUGUGAAGGUGUGCUGUGAGGCAUGCUGGAGGUAUCAGAAGUGCGAAUGCUGACAUAAGUAACGAUAAAGCGGGUGAAAAGCCCGCUCGCCGGAAGACCAAGGGUUCCUGUCCAACGUUAAUCGGGGCAGGGUGAGUCGACCCCUAAGGCGAGGCCGAAAGGCGUAGUCGAUGGGAAACAGGUUAAUAUUCCUGUACUUGGUGUUACUGCGAAGGGGGGACGGAGAAGGCUAUGUUGGCCGGGCGACGGUUGUCCCGGUUUAAGCGUGUAGGCUGGUUUUCCAGGCAAAUCCGGAAAAUCAAGGCUGAGGCGUGAUGACGAGGCACUACGGUGCUGAAGCAACAAAUGCCCUGCUUCCAGGAAAAGCCUCUAAGCAUCAGGUAACAUCAAAUCGUACCCCAAACCGACACAGGUGGUCAGGUAGAGAAUACCAAGGCGCUUGAGAGAACUCGGGUGAAGGAACUAGGCAAAAUGGUGCCGUAACUUCGGGAGAAGGCACGCUGAUAUGUAGGUGAAGCGACUUGCUCGUGGAGCUGAAAUCAGUCGAAGAUACCAGCUGGCUGCAACUGUUUAUUAAAAACACAGCACUGUGCAAACACGAAAGUGGACGUAUACGGUGUGACGCCUGCCCGGUGCCGGAAGGUUAAUUGAUGGGGUCAG